GCAGCGACUACCAUGCAGUCGUACAUGGUAGCCGUAAGUCAUUCGGUGGAGCGGAGUGAUGCCGUAGGUGACCUGACUAUUGCCGGGGAAUAACCCUUAGAGUUUCGUGCUACUACCGCAUACGCUGAGUGAAUUUGGAAGUACCUUUGGAAAGAAUGCCUCUCCUUGUAAGCAUUUACGCUAGAUGGGGCUGCGUAGGAUUAUCUUGAUGGUGGGGUAACGCCCUACCAUGGCGACAAUGCUUAUCUGGGCUGAGAGGAUGAUAACUCACACUGGAACUGAGACACGGUCCAGACUCCUACGGGAGGCAGCAGUGGGGAAUAUUGCGCAAUGGGCGAAAGCCUGACGCAGCCCUGCCGCGUGGGUGAAGAAGGGCUUCCGGUUGGAAAGCUCUGUCCUAUGGAAAGAAUGGUUGUUGCUCUAACAGGGCAACAAUUUGACGGUACCAUAAAAGGAAGCACCGGCUAACUUCGUGCCAGCAGCCGCGGUAAUACGAAGGGUGCAGACGUUGUUCGGAUUUAUUGGGCGUAAAGCGCGCGCAGGCGGAUUAGUAAGCCAGAUGUGAAAUCUCGGGGGCUCAACCCUCAGACUGCGUCUGGAACUGGUAAUCUAGAAUCUUGGAGGAGGGAAGCGGAACUUUCGCAUGUAGGGGUAAAAUCCGUAGAGAUGCUGAGGAACACCAGAUGCGAAGGGCGCUUCCUGGCCAAGUAUCUGACGCUGAGGAUGCGAAAGCGUGGGGAGCAAACAGGAUUAGAUACCCCUGGGUAGUCCACGCCGUAAACGAUGUGCACUAUGUAUUGUGAGACUCUUGACCUCUUCAGUGUCGUAGCUAACGCAUUAAGUACACCGCCUGGGGAGUACGGUCGCAAGAUUAAAACUCAAAGGAAUUGACGGGGGCCCGCACAAGCGGUGGAGCAUGUGGUUUAAUUCGAAGCAACGCGAAGAACCUUACCUAGUCUUGAAAUCCAGAGAAGAUAGCCCAAAAUUGAUUGUGCUUUUGGGAGAUCUCGGUCACGGGCGGCACAUGGCUGUUGUGAGCUUGUGUCGUGAGAUGUUGGGUUAAGUCUCGCAACGAGCGCACCCCCUAUCUUUAGUUGCCAGCAUUAAGUUGGGCAUUCUAGAGAGACUGCGUGGGUUAACCAGGAGGAAGGUGGGGAGGACGUCAAGUCCUCAUGGCCCUUAUGUCUAGGGCUACCCACGUAAUACAAUGAAGCAUACAAAGGGAAGCGAUCUGGUGACAGGUAGCAAAUCUCAAAAAGAGCAUGUCAGUCCGGAUUGGAGUUUGCAAUUGGACUCCAUGAAGUUGGAAUCGUUGGUAAUGGGAGAUCAGCACGCUCCGGGGAAUACGUUCCCGGCCUUGGUACCCUCCAGAGGCCCCACAAUUAGAGUUUUCCAACCUGAAUCUGAGAGUUGAUCAUGGCUCAGGACGAUACGCGACGGCAGCUAAACCUUC
This 1453-nucleotide ribosomal RNA is filed under the name Bacteriovorax sp. w8-4. Its description in RNAcentral is "partial 16S ribosomal RNA". It matches the Rfam family "Bacterial small subunit ribosomal RNA". The record is from RNAcentral. Lineage: Bacteria; Pseudomonadati; Bdellovibrionota; Bacteriovoracia; Bacteriovoracales; Bacteriovoracaceae.